Alosa sapidissima (American shad) is the source of this 1380-nucleotide long non-coding RNA. RefSeq lists it as uncharacterized. The record is from RefSeq and is a predicted model, not a curated record. The transcript has 6 exons. NCBI's taxonomy places the organism in Eukaryota, Metazoa, Chordata, Actinopteri, Clupeiformes, Clupeidae.
UAGGCCUACACAGUAAAAUUGACAGUGUUAUUAAGUGUUAAUUUUUCAGAGACAUAUUUUUCAGUGUUCAUUAGUGUUAAUUAGUGUAACUUCGGGAGUUGUUUGAACAAACAUGUACACCCACGGUGUAAUUAAAACUCACAACCUAGUGUUUUAAGUGGGUGUGAAUGUACGAACUCUGGGGUGGAGUCAUUUACACUUCCGGUCCUUCAGUUGAGAUUUUUGAAAAGAAGAUGGACGCCAUUGAAGUACAUCGUGGGAUAGUAAAAGGGUCAGCAAAAUGCUCAUCAAUGUCCAGUACCAUGGAGAAAAAAGUACCUCAAACUGCAGCCUGGUUUUUCCUUUCAAAGUUUAAUUCGAGAAGGCACAUCAAUCCACUGGUGCAAAAGAAGAGAACACCUCUGCCAUAGGAGAUUCAGCAGAAAAAGGCCAAACAGAUGGUCCAGGAGGUUCUGGAGAAGAGUUAAAUGGGAGAGGAAAUAAUGGAGGAGUAUAGUAGAGCACCUUGACACACUGUACAAGAAGGCAUCUUCUGAAUAUCCUGGUCCAUGGGAUACCAGUACGAAGUCAAGGAAAAAGAUAUGCACUCGGCAUUGUGACUGUUUCCUAAUCUCAGGGAUCCUUACUCCACCAAUGGCUAUGAACACUUCUACGAUGCUGGAAGAGGGACGGGCUAUCUGGCAUGGCCAAUACAUGAACACCAUGAGCUUUUUAAGGAGGUAGACUUUCUAAUGAGGAGACACAGCACUCAAAAAAUCCUCCAUAGAAAUGCAUGGGGUUAGUUUGUAACGUAUGGUGUUGUCUACAUAUAUCACACCCCCCUCCGUGGCAAAACGUGGACAUGUAAAUACAUUGAGCCAAUCAUGUGGUGUGUUGUGAAGACAUUGAUUGUGCCAAUCAUGUGUUGUGAUCUUGCCGCUGGAGCAAGAUUGGUGUUGUGAAGCCUGCCGAAAGUGCCCAAAAUGCGUUGCAAUAUGGCUGCUGAGUGGAGGGACUUGCCUAAAAGGACUUUGGGUAUACCCACAUGUAACAUCACUUCAUGGUGCAUUAUCUGUCUUGCUUAUGGAAAAUUGGCCCAUUAUUGCACAUCUCUAGUAAUAGGUUUGAAGCAAAACACAAGUUUGUGAAAUUGUAAAAAACUCUUGAUUAUAUUGUUUUAUUUCUUGUUUAUGAAAUGUUUACUCAGUGUUGCAGAGCAUUUUCAUGCAUAUGUGGUUAUGGAUUGUGAGGAACAUUGUUUUAUUGUUAAAGUCAAUGAUUUGUAUGAGUAUAAGGCCUUUGCUCAACAAAAUGCUUAUGGACCAAACUUUGACAUAUAUAUUGUACCUCUGCACAUUGAUUUGAGCCAUAUCAUGGCAAAUGUUAAUAAAAAAAGAAAAG